Molecule: long non-coding RNA, 395 nt
Organism: Dreissena polymorpha
Lineage: Eukaryota; Metazoa; Mollusca; Bivalvia; Myida; Dreissenidae
Exons: 2
Source: RefSeq, a predicted model, not a curated record
UUGGCGAAUGCUGGCGGGCUGGCGGAAUAAGCUUGUCCGGGCCAUAACUAUGUCGUUCAUUGUCAGAUUUUAAAAUCAUUUGGCACAUUUGUUCACCAUCAUUGGACGGUGUGUCGCGCGAAAUAAUUACGUCGAUAUCUCCAAGGUCAAGGUCACACUUUGAGUUCAAAGGUCAAAAAUGGCCAUAAAUGAGCUUGUCCUGGCCAUAACUAUGUCAUUCAUUGUGAGAUUUUAAAAUCAUUUGGCACAUUUGUUCACCAUCAUGGGACGGUGUGUCCCACGAAAGAAUCACGUCAAUAUCUCCAAUGUCAAGGUCGCCACGACUAAAAAUAGAUUUAAAAAAAAAAAAAAAAUUACAAAGGGGGUUAAUUUUUUUUGGUCAUUUCAAAAGUUCA